This 71-nucleotide transfer RNA is filed under the name Planctomyces sp. RNAcentral describes it as "tRNA-Gln". It matches the Rfam family "tRNA". From Rfam's summary of the family: Transfer RNA (tRNA) molecules are approximately 80 nucleotides in length. Their secondary structure includes four short double-helical elements and three loops (D, anti-codon, and T loops). RNAcentral also lists the same sequence under 2 other names. Lineage: Bacteria; Pseudomonadati; Planctomycetota; Planctomycetia; Planctomycetales; Planctomycetaceae. The record is from RNAcentral.
UACCCGGUAGUGUAAUGGUAACACAACAGGUUUUGGUCCUGUUAUUCUAGGUUCGAGUCCUAGCCGGGUAA